Molecule: ribosomal RNA, 361 nt
Filed under: Salmonella enterica
Lineage: Bacteria; Pseudomonadati; Pseudomonadota; Gammaproteobacteria; Enterobacterales; Enterobacteriaceae
Also listed under: 4 other names
Description: partial 23S ribosomal RNA
Rfam family: Bacterial large subunit ribosomal RNA
Source: RNAcentral
UGUUUCGGCUAGGGGGCCAUCCCGGCUUACCAACCCGAUGCAAACUGCGAAUACCGGAGAAUGUUAUCACGGGAGACACACGGCGGGUGCUAACGUCCGUCGUGAAGAGGGAAACAACCCAGACCGCCAGCUAAGGUCCCAAAGUCAUGGUUAAGUGGGAAACGAUGUGGGAAGGCCCAGACAGCCAGGAUGUUGGCUUAGAAGCAGCCAUCAUUUAAAGAAAGCGUAAUAGCUCACUGGUCGAGUCGGCCUGCGCGGAAGAUGUAACGGGGCUAAACCAUGCACCGAAGCUGCGGCAGCGACACUGUGUGUUGUUGGGUAGGGGAGCGUUCUGUAAGCCUGUGAAGGUGUGUCGUGAGGC